CCUACGGGUGGCAGCAGUGGGGAAUAUUGCACAAUGGGGGGAACCCUGAUGCAGCGACGCCGCGUGAGUGAAGAAGUAAUUCGUUACGUAAAGCUCUAUCAGCAGGGGAGAAAAUGCCGGUACCUGACUAAGAAGCCCCGGCUAAAUACGUGCCAGCCGCCGCGGUAAUACGUCGGGGGCAAGCGUUAUCCGGAUUUACUGGGUGUAACGGGAGCGUAGACGGUGCGCCAAGUCGGGAGUGAAAUGCCGAAGCCUAACUCCGGAACUGCUUUGGAAACUGGCGAACUCGAGUGCGGGAGGGGUAGGCGGAAUGCGUGGUGUAGCGGUGAAAUGCGUAGAUAUCAGGAGGAACACCGGUGGCGAAGGCGGCUUGCUGGACCGUAACUGACGUUGAGGCUCGAAAGCGUGGGGAGCAAACAGGAUUAGAUACCCGUGUAGUC
RNAcentral lists this ribosomal RNA (440 nucleotides) under uncultured bacterium. Its description in RNAcentral is "partial 16S ribosomal RNA". It matches the Rfam family "Bacterial small subunit ribosomal RNA", at positions 338 to 795 of the family's 1533-position model. The record is from RNAcentral.